GCUUACACAUGCAUCGAGCGGCAGCGCGGGGGCAACCCUGGCGGCGAGCGGCGAACGGGUGAGUAAUGCAUCGGAACGUGUCCUCUUGUGGGGGAUAACCAGUCGAAAGACUUGGCUAAUACCGCAUGAGAUCGAGAGAUGAAAGCAAGGGACCGCAAGGGCCUUGCCGCGAGAGGAGCGGCCGAUGCCGGAUUAGCUAGUUGGUGGGGUAACGGCCUACCAAGGCAACGAUCCGUAGCUGGUCUGAGAGGACGACCAGCCACACUGGGACUGAGACACGGCCCAGACUCCUACGGGAGGCAGCAGUGGGGAAUUUUGGACAAUGGGGGCAACCCUGAUCCAGCCAUGCCGCGUGUGUGAAGAAGGCCUUCGGGUUGUAAAGCACUUUCGGACGGAACGAAAUCGCGCGGGUUAAUAGUCCGCGUGGAAUGACGGUUACCGUAAGAAGAAGCACCGGCUAACUACGUGCCAGCAGCCGCGGUAAUACGUAGGGUGCGAGCGUUAAAUCGGAAUUACUGGGCGUAAAGUGUGCGCAGGCGGCGCUGCAAAGUCGAG
This 555-nucleotide ribosomal RNA is filed under the name uncultured bacterium. RNAcentral describes it as "bacterial SSU rRNA". It matches the Rfam family "Bacterial small subunit ribosomal RNA", at positions 46 to 593 of the family's 1533-position model. The record is from RNAcentral.